RNAcentral lists this ribosomal RNA (495 nucleotides) under uncultured bacterium. RNAcentral describes it as "partial 16S ribosomal RNA". It matches the Rfam family "Bacterial small subunit ribosomal RNA", at positions 30 to 507 of the family's 1533-position model. The record is from RNAcentral.
UGACCGCUGGCGGCGUGCCUAAUACAUGCAAGUCGAGCGAACAGACGAGGAGCUUGCUCCUCUGACGUUAGCGGCGGACGGGUGAGUAACACGUGGAUAACCUACCUAUAAGACUGGGAUAACUUCGGGAAACCGGAGCUAAUACCGGAUAACAUGUUGAACCGCAUGGUUUAACAGUGAAAGACGGUCUUGCUGUCACUUAUAGAUGGAUCCGCGCCGCAUUAGCUAGUUGGUAAGGUAACGGCUUACCAAGGCAACGAUGCGUAGCCGACCUGAGAGGGUGAUCGGCCACACUGGAACUGAGACACGGUCCAGACUCCUACGGGAGGCAGCAGUAGGGAAUCUUCCGCAAUGGGCGAAAGCCUGACGGGGCAACGCCGCGUGAGUGAAGAAGGUCUUCGGAUCGUAAAACUCUGUUAUUAGGGAAGAACAAAUGUGUAAGUAACUAUGCACGUCUUGACGGUACCUAAUCAGAAAGCCACGGCUAACUACGUG